Molecule: ribosomal RNA, 253 nt
Filed under: uncultured bacterium
Lineage: Bacteria
Description: partial 16S ribosomal RNA
Rfam family: Bacterial small subunit ribosomal RNA
Source: RNAcentral
UACGUAGGGUGCAAGCGUUAAUCGGAAUUACUGGGCGUAAAGCGUGCGCAGGCGGUUUUGUAAGUCUGUCGUGAAAUCCCCGGGCUUAACCUGGGAAUUGCGAUGGAGACUGCAAGGCUGGAGUUUGGCAGAGGGGGGUAGAAUUCCACGUGUAGCAGUGAAAUGCGUAGAGAUGUGGAGGAACACCGAUGGCGAAGGCAGCCCCCUGGGUCAAAACUGACGCUCAUGCACGAAAGCGUGGGGAGCAAACAGG